AGCGAACGUUAGCGGCAGGCCUAAUACAUGCAAGUCGCACGAGAAUCCGGCUUCGGUCGGUAGUAAAGUGGCGGACGGGUGAGUAACACGUGGAUAAUCUGCCCUUCGGCGGGGACGAACGAGUCCGAAAGGAGUUGCUAAUACCGCAUACGUCAGCGAGGUCGUUCGGACCUUGUUGGGAAGAUGGCCUCUUCGUGAAAGCUAUCACCGAAGGAUGAGUCCGCGGCCCAUCAGC
This 235-nucleotide ribosomal RNA is filed under the name uncultured bacterium. RNAcentral describes it as "partial 16S ribosomal RNA". It matches the Rfam family "Bacterial small subunit ribosomal RNA", at positions 29 to 245 of the family's 1533-position model. The record is from RNAcentral.